GAUGAAGAACGCAGCGAAAUGCGAUACGUAAUGUGAAUUGCAGAAUUCAGUGAAUCAUCGAGUCUGUGAACGCACAUUGCGCCCCCUGGUAUUCCGGGGGGCAUGCCUGUCCGAGCGUCAUUGCUGCCCUCAAGCACGGCUUGUGUGUUGGGCCUCCGUCCUCCUCCCGGGGGACGGGCCCGAAAGGCAGCGGCGGCACCGCGUCCGGUCCUCGAGCGUAUGGGGCUUCGUCACCCGCUCUUGUAGGCCCGGCCGGCGCUUGCCGACACAUCAAUCUUUUUUCCAGGUUGACCUCGGAUCAGGUAGGGAUACCCGCUGAACUUAAGCAUAUCAAUAAGCGGAGGA
RNAcentral lists this unclassified non-coding RNA (345 nucleotides) under soil metagenome. Its description in RNAcentral is "partial contains 5.8S ribosomal RNA, internal transcribed spacer 2, and large subunit ribosomal RNA". The stretch from base 1 to 120 matches the Rfam family "5.8S ribosomal RNA", at positions 35 to 154 of the family's 154-position model. The record is from RNAcentral.